Molecule: ribosomal RNA, 497 nt
Filed under: uncultured bacterium
Lineage: Bacteria
Description: partial 16S ribosomal RNA
Rfam family: Bacterial small subunit ribosomal RNA
Source: RNAcentral
GAUGAACGCUGGCGGCGUGCCUAACACAUGCAAGUCGAGCGAACAGAUGAGGAGCUUGCUCCUCUGCCGUUAGCGGCGGACGGGUGAGUAACACGUGGAUAACCUACCUAUAAGACUGGGAUAAUUUCGGGAAACCGGAGCUAAUACCGGAUAAUAUAUUGAACCGCAUGGAUCAAUAGUGAAAGACGGUUUUGCUGUCACUAUUAGAUGGAUCCGCGUCGCAUUAGCUAGUUGGUAAGGUAACGGCUUACCAAGGCAACGAUGCGUAGCUGACCUGAGAGGAUGAUCGGCCACACUGGAACUGAGACACGGUCCAGACUCCUACGGGAGGCAGCAGUAGGGAAUAUUGGGCAAAGGGCGAAAGCCUGACGCAGCAACGCCGCGUGAGUGAUGAAGGUCUUCGGAUCGUAAAACUCUGUUAUUGGGGAAGAACAGAUGUAUGAUAAAAUAUGCACGUCUUGACGGUACCUAAUCAAAAAGCAACGGCUAACUACGUG